GGUCAAGUGAAGAAGCGCAUACGGUGGAUGCCUUGGCAGUCAGAGGCGAUGAAAGACGUGGUAGCCUGCGAAAAGCUUCGGGGAGUCGGCAAACAGACUGUGAUCCGGAGAUAUCUGAAUGGGGGAACCCAGCCAUCAUAAGAUGGUUAUCUUGUACUGAAUACAUAGGUGCAAGAGGCGAACCAGGGGAACUGAAACAUCUAAGUACCCUGAGGAAAAGAAAUCAACCGAGAUUCCCUUAGUAGUGGCGAGCGAACGGGGACCAGCCCUUAAGUUGUAUUGAGAUUAGCGGAACGUUCUGGAAAGGACGGCCAUAGUGGGUGAUAGCCCUGUACGCGAAAAUCCCUUUGCAAUGAAAUCGAGUAGGACGGGGCACGAGAAACCUUGUCUGAAUAUGGGGGGACCAUCCUCCAAGGCUAAAUACUACUGACUGACCGAUAGUGAACCAGUACCGUGAGGGAAAGGCGAAAAGAACCGCGGAGAGCGGAGUGAAAUAGAUCCUGAAACCGUAUGCGUACAAGCAGUGGGAGCCCACUUUGUUGGGUGACUGCGUACCUUUUGUAUAAUGGGUCAGCGACUUAUUUUCAGUGGCGAGCUUAACCGAAUAGGGGAGGCGUAGCGAAAGCGAGUCUUAAUAGGGCGUCUAGUCGCUGGGAAUAGACCCGAAACCGGGCGAUCUAUCCAUGGGCAGGUUGAAGGUUGGGUAACACUAACUGGAGGACCGAACCGACUACCGUUGAAAAGUUAGCGGAUGACCUGUGGAUCGGAGUGAAAGGCUAAUCAAGCUCGGAGAUAGCUGGUUCUCCUCGAAAGCUAUUUAGGUAGCGCCUCAUGUAUCACUGUAGGGGGUAGAGCACUGUUUCGGCUAGGGGGUCAUCCCGACUUACCAAACCGAUGCAAACUCCGAAUACCUACAAGUGCCGAGCAUGGGAGACACACGGCGGGUGCUAACGUCCGUCGUGAAAAGGGAAACAACCCAGACCGUCAGCUAAGGUCCCAAAGUCAUGGUUAAGUGGGAAACGAUGUGGGAAGGCUUAGACAGCUAGGAGGUUGGCUUAGAAGCAGCCACCCUUUAAAGAAAGCGUAAUAGCUCACUAGUCGAGUCGGCCUGCGCGGAAGAUGUAACGGGGCUCAAACCAUGCACCGAAGCUACGGGUAUCAUCUUAUGAUGAUGCGGUAGAGGAGCGUUCUGUAAGCCUGUGAAGGUGAGUUGAGAAGCUUGCUGGAGGUAUCAGAAGUGCGAAUGCUGACAUGAGUAACGACAAUGGGUGUGAAAAACACCCACGCCGAAAGACCAAGGUUUCCUGCGCAACGUUAAUCGACGCAGGGUUAGUCGGUCCCUAAGGCGAGGCUGAAAAGCGUAGUCGAUGGAAAACAGGUUAAUAUUCCUGUACUUCUGGUUAUUGCGAUGGAGGGACGGAGAAGGCUAGGCCAGCCUGGCGUUGGUUGUCCAGGUUUAAGGUGGUAGGCUGAGAUCUUAGGUAAAUCCGGGAUCUUAAGGCCGAGAGCUGAUGACGAGUGUUCUUUUAGAACACGAAGUGGUUGAUGCCAUGCUUCCAAGAAAAGCUUCUAAGCUUCAGGUAACCAGGAACCGUACCCCAAACCGACACAGGUGGUUGGGUAGAGAAUACCAAGGCGCUUGAGAGAACUCGGGUGAAGGAACUAGGCAAAAUGGCACCGUAACUUCGGGAGAAGGUGCGCCGGUGGAGGUGAAGCAUUUACUGCGUAAGCCCCUGCCGGUCGAAGAUACCAGGCCGCUGCGACUGUUUAUUAAAAACACAGCACUCUGCAAACACGAAAGUGGACGUAUAGGGUGUGACGCCUGCCCGGUGCCGGAAGGUUAAUUGAUGGGGUUAGCGCAAGCGAAGCUCUUGAUCGAAGCCCCGGUAAACGGCGGCCGUAACUAUAACGGUCCUAAGGUAGCGAAAUUCCUUGUCGGGUAAGUUCCGACCUGCACGAAUGGCGUAACGAUGGCGGCGCUGUCUCCACCCGAGACUCAGUGAAAUUGAAAUCGCUGUGAAGAUGCAGUGUAUCCGCGGCUAGACGGAAAGACCCCGUGAACCUUUACUAUAGCUUUGCACUGGACUUUGAAUUUGCUUGUGUAGGAUAGGUGGGAGGCUUUGAAGCGUGGACGCCAGUCUGCGUGGAGCCAACCUUGAAAUACCACCCUGGCAACUUUGAGGUUCUAACUCAGGUCCGUUAUCCGGAUCGAGGACAGUGUAUGGUGGGUAGUUUGACUGGGGCGGUCUCCUCCUAAAGAGUAACGGAGGAGUACGAAGGUGCGCUCAGACCGGUCGGAAAUCGGUCGUAGAGUAUAAAGGCAAAAGCGCGCUUGACUGCGAGACAGACACGUCGAGCAGGUACGAAAGUAGGUCUUAGUGAUCCGGUGGUUCUGUAUGGAAGGGCCAUCGCUCAACGGAUAAAAGGUACUCCGGGGAUAACAGGCUGAUACCGCCCAAGAGUUCAUAUCGACGGCGGUGUUUGGCACCUCGAUGUCGGCUCAUCACAUCCUGGGGCUGAAGCCGGUCCCAAGGGUAUGGCUGUUCGCCAUUUAAAGUGGUACGCGAGCUGGGUUUAGAACGUCGUGAGACAGUUCGGUCCCUAUCUGCCGUGGACGUUUGAGAUUUGAGAGGGGCUGCUCCUAGUACGAGAGGACCGGAGUGGACGAACCUCUGGUGUUCCGGUUGUCACGCCAGUGGCAUUGCCGGGUAGCUAUGUUCGGAAAAGAUAACCGCUGAAAGCAUCUAAGCGGGAAACUUGCCUCAAGAUGAGAUCUCACUGGAACCUUGAGUUCCCUGAAGGGCCGUCGAAGACUACGACGUUGAUAGGUUGGGUGUGUAAGCGCUGUGAGGCGUUGAGCUAACCAAUACUAAUUGCCCGUGAGGCUUGACCAUAUAACACCCA
RNAcentral lists this ribosomal RNA (2904 nucleotides) under Pseudomonas syringae pv. aceris str. M302273. RNAcentral describes it as "bacterial LSU rRNA". It matches the Rfam family "Bacterial large subunit ribosomal RNA". The record is from RNAcentral. Lineage: Bacteria; Pseudomonadati; Pseudomonadota; Gammaproteobacteria; Pseudomonadales; Pseudomonadaceae.